UACGUAGGGUGCGAGCGUUAAUCGGAAUUACUGGGCGUAAAGCGUGCGCAGGCGGUGAUGUAAGACAGUUGUGAAAUCCCCGGGCUCAACCUGGGAACUGCAUCUGUGACUGCAUCGCUGGAGUGCGGCAGAGGGGGAUGGAAUUCCGCGUGUAGCAGUGAAAUGCGUAGAUAUGCGGAGGAACACCGAUGGCGAAGGCAAUCCCCUGGGCCUGCAUUGACGCUCAUGCACGAAAGCGUGGGGAGCAAACAGG
Molecule: ribosomal RNA, 253 nt
Filed under: uncultured bacterium
Lineage: Bacteria
Description: partial 16S ribosomal RNA
Rfam family: Bacterial small subunit ribosomal RNA
Source: RNAcentral